AGCCUGGCAUGCUGCAGUGCAUGGGGUCACAAAGAGUUGGACAUGACUGAUUGACUGAACAACAACAAAGAAUAUUCCUCUAGAGAGUGAAGACUGCCAUCAUAUCCUGCCCACAUAAUGGGGUGUCACUCCUGGAUCUUGCUUCAGACAUACACCAAAUUCUCCUUAUUGAAGCAAACCCUGUAACCAGUCUGGAUCUCCUUCAGAAGAUGGUCUAUACAUUUAUAUUACAGGUAUUUACACCCUGCAGCUAACUUAUUAUUUAAUAUUUAUUUAUUUUUGAUUGAUUGAUGAUUGGUUUACAAUAUGGGUUUGAUUUGGCAUGUAUCAGCAUGAAUUAAUCAUAGCUGUACAUAUGUCUCCUCCCUCUUGAAUCUCCCUCCUUCAAUUCACUUUUUUUUUUUACUCAAUAAUGUAUCUUGAAGUAAUUAUGUAACAUUACUUAUAGAGCUACUUCAUAUUUUAUGAAGUUGAAGAUAUAGUAUUCCACUGUAUGACAAAACUAUAGCUAUUAAAUAGCUAUAACUAUUUAAUUCAGUUCAGUUCAGUCAUUCAGUCAUGUCUGACUCUUUGCGACCCCA
RNAcentral lists this long non-coding RNA (581 nucleotides) under Capra hircus (goat). RNAcentral describes it as "lncRNA (ENSCHIG00010017537.1)". Lineage: Eukaryota; Metazoa; Chordata; Mammalia; Artiodactyla; Bovidae. The record is from RNAcentral.